UAGAAUGACGUUUUUGCUGUCAAUGUGGU
This 29-nucleotide small RNA is filed under the name Bombyx mori (domestic silkworm). RNAcentral's name for it is "piRNA piR-bmo-2084550". Lineage: Eukaryota; Metazoa; Arthropoda; Insecta; Lepidoptera; Bombycidae. The record is from RNAcentral.